Molecule: ribosomal RNA, 582 nt
Filed under: Brachybacterium sp. sd1-t7p
Lineage: Bacteria; Bacillati; Actinomycetota; Actinomycetes; Micrococcales; Dermabacteraceae
Description: bacterial SSU rRNA
Rfam family: Bacterial small subunit ribosomal RNA
Source: RNAcentral
GUCGAACGAUGACGGCCGUGCUUGCACGGUCUGAUUAGUGGCGAACGGGUGAGUAACACGUGAGUAACCUGCCCUCCACUUCGGGAUAACCUCGGGAAAUCGUGGCUAAUACCGGAUAUGAGCACUCAUCGCAUGGUGGGUGUUGGAAAGAUUUAUCGGUGGAGGAUGGACUCGCGGCCUAUCAGUUUGUUGGUGAGGUGAUGGCUCACCAAGACGGUGACGGGUAGCCGGCCUGAGAGGGCGACCGGCCACACUGGGACUGAGACACGGCCCAGACCCCUACGGGAGGCAGCAGUGGGGAAUAUUGCACAAUGGGCGGAAGCCUGAUGCAGCGACGCCGCGUGAGGGAUGACGGCCUUCGGGUUGUAAACCUCUUUCAGUAGGGAAGAAGCGAAAGUGACGGUACCUGCAGAAGAAGCGCCGGCUAACUACGUGCCAGCAGCCGCGGUAAUACGUAGGGCGCAAGCGUUGUCCGGAAUUAUUGGGCGUAGAGAGCUUGUAGGAGGCUUGUCGCGUCUGCCGUGAAAACCCGAGGCUCAACCUCGGGCGUGCGGUGGGUACGGGCAGGCUAGAGUGUGGUAG